Molecule: unclassified non-coding RNA, 240 nt
Filed under: soil metagenome
Description: partial contains 5.8S ribosomal RNA, internal transcribed spacer 2, and large subunit ribosomal RNA
Source: RNAcentral
AACCAUUCUCACCUGCGGCUAGACCUGCGGAAGGAUCAUUACACAAUACAAUAUGAAGGCUGUCCGCAGCUGGAGUAUUUUAUUACCCUUGUCUUUUGCGCACUUGUUGUUUCCUGGGCGGGUUCGCUCGCCACCAGGACCACCAAAUAAACCUUUUUUAUGCAGUUGCAAUCAGCGUCAGUACAAACAAUGUAAAUCAUUUACAACUUUCAACAACGGAUCUCAGAUCGGAAGAGCACA